AGGUCCAGCCUGCCCGGUGACAAAGUUUAACGGCCUCGGUACCCUGACCGCGCGAAGGUAGCAUAAUCACUUGUUCUUUAAAUAGGGACCUGUAUCAACGGCAUCACGAGGGCUGAACUGUCUCCUCUCUCCAAUCAGUGAACCUAACCUCUUCGUGAAGAGGCGAAGAUUUAAAUAUAAGACGAGAAGACCCCAUGGAGCUUUAAACCAAAUAACACCCUCUUUAAUAUACACCCUAAGAAAUAAGAAGCCUGUUAGCUAGUUUUCGGCUGGGGCAUCCGGGGAGUAAAACCCAACCUCCCUGACAAACCAUCACAGAGCUACCACUCUAAGAGACAGCAAGCUGUAGUAACAUGACCCGUCUAUCGACCAACGAACCAAGUUACCCUGGGGAUAACAGCGCAAUCCAUUUCGAGAGCCCCUAUCGACAAAUGGGUUUACGACCUCGAUGUUGGAUCAGGGGUAUCCCAGUGGUGCAGCCGCUACUAAAGGUUCGUUUGUGCAACGAUUAAAACCCUACGUGAUCUGAGUUAGGCCCGGA
This 541-nucleotide ribosomal RNA is filed under the name Phrynobatrachus francisci. RNAcentral's name for it is "partial 16S ribosomal RNA". It matches the Rfam family "Bacterial large subunit ribosomal RNA", at positions 1850 to 2620 of the family's 2925-position model. Lineage: Eukaryota; Metazoa; Chordata; Amphibia; Anura; Phrynobatrachidae. The record is from RNAcentral.